AUACGGAGGAUCCGAGCGUUAUCCGGAUUUAUUGGGUUUAAAGGGAGCGUAGGUGGGAUAUUAAGGCAGUUGUGAAAGUUUGCGGCUCAACCGUAAAAUUGCAGUUGAUACUGGCUGGCUUGAGUACAGUAGAGGUGGGCGGAAUUCGUGGUGUAGUGGUGAAAUGAUUAGAUAUCACGAAGAACUCCGAUUGCGAAGGCAGCUCACUGGACUGCAACUGACACUGAUGCUCGAAAGUGUGGGUAUCAAACAGGAUUAGAUACCCUGGUAGUCCACACAGUAAACGAUGAAUACUCGCUGUUUGCGAUAUACAGUAAGCGGCCAAGCGAAAGCAUUAAGUAUUCCACCUGGGGAGUACGCCGGCAACGGUGAAACUCAAAUGAAUUGGCGGGG
This 393-nucleotide ribosomal RNA is filed under the name uncultured bacterium. RNAcentral describes it as "partial 16S ribosomal RNA". It matches the Rfam family "Bacterial small subunit ribosomal RNA", at positions 523 to 918 of the family's 1533-position model. The record is from RNAcentral.